UCCCCAGACUCCUACGGGAGGCAGCAGUGGGGAAUAUUGCACAAUGGGGGGAACCCUGAUGCAGCGACGCCGCGUGGGUGAAGGAGCACCUCGGUGCGUAAAGCCCUAUCGGCAGGGAAGAAAAGCGAACAGGUUCGCCUGGACGGUACCUGACUAAGAAGCACCGGCUAACUCCGUGCCAGCAGCCGCGGUAAUACGGAGGGUGCGAGCGUUAAUCGGAAUUACUGGGCGUAAAGCGCUCGUAGGCGGUAUGUCAAGUCAAGGGUGAAAUCCCCGCGCUCAACGUGGGAACUGCCUUUGAAACUGGCAAACUGGAGUGUGUGAGAGGAUAGUGGAAUUCCAGGUGUAGGAGUGAAAUCCGUAGAUAUCUGGAGGAACAUCAGUGGCGAAGGCGACUAUCUGGCACAUAACUGACGCUGAGGAGCGAAAGCGUGGGUAGCAAACAGGAUUAGAUACCCUGGUAA
Molecule: ribosomal RNA, 464 nt
Filed under: uncultured bacterium
Lineage: Bacteria
Description: bacterial SSU rRNA
Rfam family: Bacterial small subunit ribosomal RNA
Source: RNAcentral